CAAAAGUUUUAUUCUAGCUUAGAAUUUGGGUAUAGUUUUAUUUUACAUGCAAGUUUGGUCGUUUAGGCUUGGGUUUAAAUAACUUCGCUUUUAUUUUGGCAGUAGGGAAAUUUAAAUAUCAAUGUUUGUUGGAUUUAGGAAUAACUAGUUAAGUAUUGACAAAAUUUGUGCCAGCAGUUGCGGUUACACAGAUAAUAUCACUCAAGUUGUUCGGUGUUAGUCAUUUCGUUUUUUUACUUAAAAUUGUAAAUUGUUAGGUGAAAUUUUAAUUUACAACAAGGUUGAUUAUUGGUUAAUGAGGCUGAGAAACUCUUUUUAAGACUAGGAUUAGAUACCCUAUUAUACGGAGUGUGAAAUUGGGGGCUGGGUUAGUAGUAGUUAUGUUCUUGAAAAUUAAAGAUUUUGGCGGUACUUUAGUCCAUUCAGAGGAACCUGUCCUGUAAUCGAUGGUCCACGAUUUUAUUUACUUCCUUUUUUAGUUUAUAUAUCGUCGUAGUUGGAAUAUGUUAGUAGAUAUAAAAUUUUCAUAAUUCUCAUUAAGAAAUAAAUCAGAUCAAGGUGUAGCUUAUGGGGGAGCAGUGAUGGGUUACAUUAAAUUUAUUUAUUCAGGAUUUUUAUAAUUGGUUAUCGAAUGAAUUUGGAUUUGAGGGUAAUUUUAACUAAAUAGUUAUAAUGAUUUAGGCUCUAAGGUAUGCACAUAUCGCCCGUCGCUUUCGCCCUAAGGCGAAAUAAGUCGUAACAUAGUAGGCCUACCGGAAGGUGGGCCUGGAUAGGC
RNAcentral lists this non-coding RNA (775 nucleotides) under Agrianome spinicollis. Lineage: Eukaryota; Metazoa; Arthropoda; Insecta; Coleoptera; Cerambycidae. The record is from RNAcentral.